RNAcentral lists this ribosomal RNA (1961 nucleotides) under Bacteroidales bacterium Bact_08. Its description in RNAcentral is "bacterial LSU rRNA". It matches the Rfam family "Bacterial large subunit ribosomal RNA", at positions 1 to 1988 of the family's 2925-position model. The record is from RNAcentral. Lineage: Bacteria; Pseudomonadati; Bacteroidota; Bacteroidia; Bacteroidales.
AGAAGUUACUUAAGGGCGAACGGAGGAUGCCUAGGCUUCUAUGGGCGAAGAAGGACGUGGUAAGCUGCGAAAAGCUGCGGGGAUCAGCAAACAUGAUUUGAUCCGCAGAUAUCCGAAUGGGACAACCCGGCUGGCUGAAGGCCAGUCACAUCGCAAGAUGAGCCAACGCAGGGAACUGAAACAUCUAAGUACCUGCAGGAAAAGAAAGAAAUAUCGAUUCUCUGAGUAGUGGCGAGCGAAAGGGGAAUAGCCUAAACCAAUAUUGUUUCGGCAAUGUUGGGGUUGUAGGAUCGCGACAUUGAGUUAUAAAAAGAAGUGGAAUCAAUUGGAAAAUUGGGUCGUAGAGGGUGAUAAUCCCGUACACGUAUUUUUUAUAAUUUAUAGCGAUAUCCUGAGUAGGGCGGGACACGAGGAAUCCUGUCUGAAUCUACGGGGACCAUCCCGUAAGGCUAAAUACCAAUAGAAGACCGAUAGUGAACCAGUACUGUGAAGGAAAGGUGAAAAGUACCCCGAACAGGGGGGUGAAAUAGAACCUGAAACCGUUCGCUUACAAGCGGUCGGAGUCCUUUAGGGGAUGACGGCGUGCCUUUUGCAUAAUGAGCCUACGAGUUGCAUCUCACUAGCAAGGUUAAGUACUUCAGGUACGGAGCCGAAGCGAAAGCGAGUCUUAAUAGGGCGCUAAGUUAGUGGGAGCAGACGCGAAACCUUGUGAUCUACCCUUGACCAGGUUGAAGGAGCCGUAACAGGCUGUGGAGGACCGAACCAGUUUCCGUUGAAAAGGAUUUGGAUGAGUUGAGGGUAGGGGUGAAAGGCUAAUCAAACUGGGAGAUAGCUCGUACUCCCCGAAAUGUCUUUUGGGACAGCCUCAAUCUAUAGCUUAUCGGAGGUAGAGCGACUGAUAGGAUGCGAGGGCUUCACCGCCUAUCAAUUCCUGACAAACUCCGAAUGCCGAUAAGUGUUAAUUGGGAGUGAGUCGCCGGGUGCUAAUGUCCGGUGGCGAGAGGGAAAGAGCCCAGACCAACAGCUAAGGCCCCCAAACGUGUGUUAAGUUGAUAGAACGAUGUUCGGUUGCAGCGACAGCUAGGAUGUUAGCUUGGAAGCAGCUAUUCAUUUAAAGAGUGCGUAACAGCUCACUAGUCGAGCGACUGAGCGUGGAUAAUAAACGGGCAUCAAACACACUGCCGAAGCUUUGGACUCUGUAAAGAGUGGUAGGGGAGCAUUCUAGUCAGCGCCGAAGGUGUACUGUGAGGUAUGCUGGAGCGGUUAGAAAAGAAAAUGUAGGCAUAAGUAACGAUAAUGCAGGCGAGAAACCUGCACACCGAAAACCCAAGGUUUCCUGAUCAACGUUAAUCGGAUCAGGGUUAGUCGGGGCCUAAGGAUAAGCCGAAAGGUGAAUUCGAUGGACAAAUGGUUAAUAUUCCAUUACCUGUAUAUUGAGUGAAGGAGAGACGGAGUAGUGACACACACGCCAACUGACGGAAUAGUUGGUUAAAGGUCUAAGGUAUAUUAUUAGGUUAAUAGCUUAGUAAUGCUGACGGCCGACAGUACAGAGAGUCUUCGGACAAUUUGAUAGUUGUGGUAAUCAAACUUCCAAGAAAAUCUUCGUAGCGUUAAUUGAUAUACAGCCCGUACCGUAAACCGACACAGGUGGGUGAGGAGAGAAUCCUAAGGUGCUCGAGUGAAUCAUGGCUAAGGAACUCGGCAAAUUGACCCCGUAACUUCGGGAUAAGGGGACCCUAGAGAUAGGGCGCAGAGAAAUGAUCCAGGCGACUGUUUAACAAAAACACAGGGCUUUGCAAAAUCGAAAGAUGACGAAUAAGGCCUGACACCUGCCCGGUGCUGGAAGGUUAAGAGGGGAUGUUAGCUUUAGAGCGACGCAUUGAAUCGAAGCCCCAGUAAACGGCGGCCGUAACUAUAACGGUCCUAAGGUAGCGAAAUUCCUUGUCGGGUAAGUUCCGACC